ACAUUGCUGGUUCUGUUGUGUGUGUGUGUGUGAGAACUGAUGCUGGUUCUGGUGUGUGAGAACUGGUUCUGGUAUGUGUAGACGAGAUGUCUCCUGAGGCAAAGUACGUGGACCUGCUCCUGAACCCGGAGAGAUACACCGGAUAUAACGGCCUGUCCGCCUGGAGAGUCUGGAACAGCAUUUAUGAGGAAAACUGCUUCAAAUUGUCCACGAGUAUAAAAGAGUUGCACAACUUCUGCACUCUCCUGAAGGACCACAGGUGACCCCAGUGACCCCAGUGCCUGCUGUAGUGCGGUCAGGCCAGCGCGACCCGUCUCAGGGACCGGCAGAACUCCUCUCGACCCGAUCUCAGUGCGACUCACAGGAACUCUUCAAGCUCUUUAUCCUCCUCUGCAUGUUCAAGACUGUGUGUGUGUGUGUGUGUGUGCGC
This is a non-coding RNA of Pimephales promelas (fathead minnow), 430 nucleotides long. The record is from RefSeq and is a predicted model, not a curated record. Lineage: Eukaryota; Metazoa; Chordata; Actinopteri; Cypriniformes; Leuciscidae.